UCAGGGAUGCAGGCAAUGAAGGUUAUUUUAUUUGGGAUGCUAAACGCAGGGGGGACCAUUACACCAGCUAAAGUACAUCGAUUUCAAGUGAAACAGGGAGGAGAAAAAUCUUUUUACCUCCUCCAGCUGAAUUAUGUUGGCCGUUCAAACAAACAAACAAGCCCAUCUUCAAACAGUGGGGAGGCUGGAGCAAAACUUCCCUCCUCGCUGCAGUUUCCAGGUGCUUUUACUCAAGAUUUGAUUUUUAUUCCUGUCUUCCUUAUUUGAGAAUCAGGUCUGUGGCUCUGCAAGGGACCCUUAUGCCAGAGCUCUUUCCUGUGCUGAUUUUUCAGAUGACUUUAACCGUAAAUCACAUGUCCCCCAAACUAUAUCCCAACUUCGCCAAGUCCCCAGCCACACAAAGAAAGGCCUAGUUGGGUCCCGUGAUGUAACCUAAGUUGAUAUUCCUCAUAAAUCUACAUAGUUAUUCCAGCACGAUUACAUUCAUAUAUUCACAUUUCCAAUUCAAGGUUGUAGAAGAAGUGUAAUUUUAAAAAAACGAUUAUUUAUACUCUUCAGUGUCCAGUCUUGAGGGGUUCAAGAAGACAUGCGGACGGCUCUCAGUAGAACGUAAUCUUCUAAAGAGCACAUGCAAUUUAUUAAGGACAAUGCCAUCGUGGCCACGUGACUUGUAAGUGCAACAUUCGAGACGUUUGCUGUAAUAAUUAAACACCACAAGAGAACUUUUUAAAAACUCGAGUCUAAUUAAGGUUUGUCCUUCAGGAAAAAGGUGACUCCAUCUCUAAUGUGAGUAUUCAUGAGCUUUUCAUUUUAAGAGGGCUAGUUUGUGGGUAAACAGAUGCCUGAAGAGACGGUCACAGGAGGAGCUCAUGCAGUUUUAAUAGAUGGCAGUGCUGCGGCAUCAGAAGAUGAUGCCGGCUGAAGUGACAGCGUCUGAUGACUGUACCCUUGGUCGGCUCUGUUUUUAUGAAUGGUCUCAGGGUUCUCCCUUCCUGCCCAGGUCGGUGAUGCUGGCUGGAUUUGGGAACCCAUCAUUUUAUCUUCCAGGUGACAGUCCUCUCAUGGGGUGGCAUCCAUUUUCUCCCUUAGCAUCCUCUAAAUGCUUCUCCAAGAAGCCACCUCCCACAGGGCUCGUGCAGUGAGGAAGGAGGAAGUGAGGAAGGGAGGAGGUGAGCCCCUCCUGCUCCGUAGCACCCCCAACAUCCGCCUCUCUCUGGCCCAGGCUCCUUUACUGCUCCCAUAGCUUCCCCCCCUCCCCCUGACCCCUCCCUCCCCUGACUUCUUCCUCCCCCCUCCCCCUUCAUUCUCUUCUUCCUCCCCCCCUCCCCUCCCCCUCCUCCCCUUUCUCCCCGAAGCCUGGGGGGCCUCCAUUUCAGCCACACACUUCCUCGGUCCACUCAGGAAAACCAAAGCCCUACAGUGAUGGGCCCUCCCUCCUUGCGAAGAGCAAACCCCAUCACUCUCCUGUCCCUGGACCACAGAAGCUGGGGUGAGGGUCUCACCCUCCAGCCCAAGGAGCUACCCAGGGGUCCUUUCCAGGAAUACCUGGCACUUGGCCAGAAAGAUUGUCACCCACAUGCAGGUUGCUGCUCCACGGCCCUUACUGCCAGCUCUGGGUUCCUUUUGUUACAGGCUUCAAGUCCCCUUCGAGAAGAUGAACCCCCAAAGCCUCAGGCCACGUCUCCUUGCAAUGCUGCUUCCCCCACCUUGACCCGCCUGGGCUGCUCACUCCCUGCUGGGAGAGGUACGUGGCCCAGGCCUCACCCGCCCCUGCGUCACCUGUUCUCCAUGCAGAUAAGGCCUCCUGCCCAUGACCAAUCUGAGCAUCACGCUGGGUCUCCACCCUGGUCGCACCGUGGGUCCUGGAGACCAUUGCAAGUGAGCCGGGCCCUCUGGGAACCUGCAAGCCUCUGACUCCUCUCUCCCUCUCUGAAAGUGUGCUUUCGCCUUGAUAAAGGUAUAAAGCAUCUGCAGUUCCCGUGCUUUGCCUUGGUGAGACGGGGAGAUGGGGAGACAGGGAUCGAGCGAGGAAUCUGUGAUGUAUCAUUUUAACACCAGCAGUUCGCGGAUUUUUUAAUCUCAAGUCCGCUUUACACUCUUUAAAAUUGAGGACCCCAAAGAGCUUUUGUUUAUGAGGUCAUUUCUAUUAAUAGUCACCCAAUUAGAAAGUAGAACUGAGAAAGUUGAACAAUAUGUAGUCAUUCAUGGGAAAAUAACAAUAAUAAACCCGUGACGCAGCACCCCUAAGUAACGUUUUAAUGAAAACUAACUUUACUUUUCCAAACCUGAGAAGAAUGGCGUUAUUUUACAUUUUUGCACUUUUUGGCAAAUCUCUCUCUGGCUUAGGAGAAGGCAUCUGGGUUCUCUUAUCUGCUUCUUCAUUCAGUCUUCUAGGAAGCAUCUGGAAGAUUCUGUCCAGCAAGCAGGAGAGAAGGAGUGUGAACAAGGCAAAUAACAUUUUCCUAUUAUUAAAAGAGCUAAUGGAGGAGUUCCCGUUGUGGCUCAUCAGAUUCAUUUCUGCUACGCCAGGAUGGGAACUCCUAUUUGUUCACAUUUUAACUGCUCCAAAGCCAGGAGAAGCAUGUCUCAAAAGUCAAGGCUUGGAAAGGAAAAAAGAAAGUAGGAAGGAGGGAAGGAAAGGAGGGAGGGAGGAAGGAAGGAAAGAAAGAGACACCUGGGAAGGCAUGCAUUUGGUUGUUGUUCCUGUACCCUGAGUGGAAACCACUGUCCCUGGCAUCUCAGUCUCCAUGCCACUGUCCCUGGCACCUCAGUUGCUGUACCACUGUCCCUGGCAUCUCAGCCUCCAUGCCACUGUCCCUGGCACCUCAGUCUCCAUGCCACUGUCCCUGGCACCUCAGUCGCUGUGCCCCUUAUUUGAGAAAGGUGGAUGAGAAUUGGGAUUGUCUAAAACUUCCUGUUGAUAUUCAGGUAACAUUCAGGAAGCUCAGCCUAAACGCUUGCAAGAAGGUGCCAGGGCUGGGGAAUUCCUAGAGACCACGGUAGGAAACCACUCUGGUGGCAGGAUAAUGGUCCCCUCAAGACGUCCAUGUCCUCGUCCCCAGAACCUGUGAAUAAGUUGCCUUGUAUGGCAGAAGGGACUUGGCAGAUGUGACUAAAUUAAUGCCCUAGAGUUUAGAGGAGCAGCCUGGAUUAUCCAUCUGGGUCCAGUCUAAUCAUGUGCAUUCUUAAAAUCAGAGUACCUUUGCCAGCUGGGGUUGGGGGGAGCCAUGAUUACAGAAGAACUGCCAGAGAGGUGCAAUGCUGCCAGCUUCUGAGAGGGAGGAGGGGACCACAAGCCCAGCUUCCGAGAGGGAGGAGGGGACCACAAGCCAAGGAAUGCAGAUGACCUGAGACCCUUGUCAAGGUGAGGAAACAGAUUUUCCUCUAGAAGCUCCAGAAAGGAAAGCAGCCCUGCUGGCACCUUGAUUUUAGCCCAGCCAGACCCAGGUGAGACUCUGACCUCAUAAAAUACAUGCUGUUUUAAGCCACCACAUUUGUGGUCCUUUGUUACAGCAGCAAUAGGAAACUAAUACG
This 3534-nucleotide long non-coding RNA is filed under the name Sus scrofa (pig). Its description in RNAcentral is "lncRNA (ENSSSCG00060029961.1)". The record is from RNAcentral. Lineage: Eukaryota; Metazoa; Chordata; Mammalia; Artiodactyla; Suidae.